AUCCAGCUGACGAGUCCCAAAUAGGACGAAACACGCUUCCUGGAU
This is a non-coding RNA of Schistosoma haematobium, 45 nucleotides long. The record is from Rfam. NCBI's taxonomy places the organism in Eukaryota, Metazoa, Platyhelminthes, Trematoda, Strigeidida, Schistosomatidae.